UNGNGGAGAUGCAANUUGGAGUGAAUUCCCGGGGGUUCAACCCNGNACUGCUUUNAAANUGCAUCCCUUGAGUUUCGGAGAGGCAAGCGGAAUUNCUAGUGUAGCGGUGAAAUGCGUAGAUAUUAGGAGGAACACCAGUGGCGAAGGCGGCUUGCUGGACGACAACUGACGCUGAGGCGCGAAAGCGUGGGGAGCAAACAGGAUUAGAUACCCUGGUAGUCCACGCUGUAAACGAUGAAUACUAGGUGUGGGAGGACUGACCCCUUUCCGUGCCGCAGUUAACACAAUAAGUAUUCCACCUGGGGAGUACGACCGCAAGGUUGAAACUCAAAGGAAUUGACGGGGGCCCGCACAAGCAGU
Molecule: ribosomal RNA, 360 nt
Filed under: uncultured bacterium
Lineage: Bacteria
Description: partial 16S ribosomal RNA
Rfam family: Bacterial small subunit ribosomal RNA
Source: RNAcentral